CCCAGGUAUCGGGACAGGUAACCUACUUUUAAGUCGGACUGACGCCGAACAUCCUCUCGAAGCGAAGUCGGAAUGUGUAUGUCGUCUUUGCAUGUUAUAAUGUGAUGUAGUGGUGACACAGUGCGAGCUCAAAACCAGAAGAGGAAAUUAGAUUAUGCACCGCAGGGCCGUGGUUUGUCACGAACGAUUUCAAUAUGUUGAAGAUACUUUUACUCGUAAUUAUGACAGGACUUGUAAAGAAUGAAACACAAUGUCCCGCAGCUGACAUCUGUUUGACAGCAUUUAUUAAAUCUGCAAAACGGGCCACGGACCAACAAGGCCUUUGUCAUUAUGUGUAUAUAGCGUUAGACUGUCUCGAAGAAUCGAAGCAGCAAUGCCUGUUUGAACAACACGCGUGGAUCGAACACAAAAUGGAAGACAUUCGUAGGGAACAUCCAACGUGUGAUUCCUCUGCCACGUUGACACCAUCUUUAGUUUUGAUUGUACUGUUCUCAGCACUGCAAUAUGUUUCUUGAACACUUGGCAAAUUUAAUAUAGCCAGGAGUGAUCUGAUCACCACUGGAUUAGUACAUGUACAUUUUAAAAACAUUUUAUAUCCAGGACUUUAAAUGUCAGAAAAAGAUAGGGGAAAAAAAUAAUCUUUUUUUUUUAAAUAAUUAGAGAAAACCAUACCUUCUGGGCCUUGGUUAUAAUCAUCAUUAAAACAAAAUUGAAACUGUAGUUAAUUUAGGCCGUUAAGACUCCGUUAUUUAACCUCAUGUGUUCAUUUAUACAUUUAUUCAUUCAUUUUGUUUUCACUUUUACAAAUUCAGUGGGAAAAUGGAAAUUUGAGAAAUUAAUAACGCAAAUGCUAGGAAUUAGUGAUACAAUAUUCCCAAUUUCUUAUGUAUUGUUUGAGAGCUUAAAAUGUUAAAACAUUGAAAUUUACCAGAACAAGAACCAAUAUAUAUAUAUAUACAUGUAUAUAAUUUCCAAGAAUAGACGAUACAUAUUUGUCAUUUAUCUUGUCAUAGUAAAUAUACAAUUCCAGACCUCGGACCAAUUUAACAUAAUAUAACUCAGAAUAUUUAUUUCUGUUCAUAUUUAAAUUGCAAAAAUAUAUUACUGUUAACAGUGAAAUUUUCUGAUCAAAGUUUUUUUUGAGUAUGUAGAAAUGAAAGUUUAUUUUGUUCAACACCACUAGAGCACAUUACUGUAAUAAAUCGGCUAUUGGUUGUCAAAAAAUGUGAUAAUCCAGUUUUCGAGAGAAACCCAAUAAACAUUUCCAUUAGCAGCAAGGCAUCUUUUAUACGGUAUGUAAUUCCCCCCGCCCCAGACAUGACGGCAGACUGGUGAAGAGUAGAUGUACAACUACUAUUUCUUUUAAUCACAUUUUUCUUUAAAGGGACAAACCCUAGUUUUUAAACACUAAGGCAUACUUUUCACCUAGACUCUAAAAUGGACACUAAGUUUGGUUAAUUCACCAACAUGUAAUAAAUUUGGAUACAACAGAGU
Molecule: long non-coding RNA, 1494 nt
Organism: Gigantopelta aegis
Lineage: Eukaryota; Metazoa; Mollusca; Gastropoda; Neomphalida; Peltospiridae
Exons: 4
Source: RefSeq, a predicted model, not a curated record